UAUUUCAGAUGAAGGAAAUGGACUGUGGAGGAAAAAUCCAAGCUUGAUUCUAUUGUAGCCUUUCCUCAGAAAGGUUGGCAGAAGCAUUAAGUGAUAGUCAUGAACCCAAACAUAAUCUUCCUCUGGACUGAUUAUUUCCAUGACCUUGUCAGCAAAUAUUUUAUUAGCUGAAACAUAGGCCUGCCAAAAAACACGUUCAAAGCGAUUACCAUGGUCUGGGCAAAUAGGCAACAUGUAGUGAAAAAGAGGCCAUAAGUGCUGUUUACAGAAUCCAAGAUAAAACUUCUUCUGCAGGUCUUGGGGUAGAAAUGUUGGGACACAGUUGAAAUUCUCAAGCAGUUUUUGGGAAAUUUCUUCCUGCUCACUAGCAUCUAUAUCAACCUUCAGAGACCCCACAUAAAUAACCUCAGUUUCAGGAGAAAAACCAUCCUUUAGUUGCAAUAAAAGCGAAUCUUCAUCCCAACUGAAGCACCACUUGGCAGUUCCUGGAUCCCUUUUAGCAUGUAAAGGUAACAUAUUUGCCACGAUAAUUUUCCGCUCACGACAAAUAGAUGAAGCAAUCUCUGAGUCCCCAUCAUUACUGCAAUAACCAUCCAAAUCUGAGAUAAUUCCAGGGACAGUCAUCACUCUAGGAAUAGAUCUUGGAGUAUGAGGAAUUUCCAACAGAUUCCCAGAAGCCAAAUCUAAAAUAUUCACACACGAUCUUGACACCAUCACUCAUUAAGAUAACAAACUUCCAACUACAAUUUGCUCACAGAAUCCCACACCUUACGGUUAAUAAACCGGUGACCGGAGACGUAUAGUUAGGUAUAAAUAAAAAAACCCGGCGAGUUCGGCUUGGCUAUGAGGUAUGGGGAAAAAAUGAUAAAAACUAAAAGGGCAGUUAAAGAGAUCGGAAAUGGAAGCUCUGUUGGAUUUUCAAUGGAAAUGGGAGGAAGGAUAGACAGACAGAGGGGAAGUGGUAAAUGCAAAGAAGAGAG
Molecule: unclassified non-coding RNA, 980 nt
Filed under: Hevea brasiliensis (rubber tree)
Lineage: Eukaryota; Viridiplantae; Streptophyta; Magnoliopsida; Malpighiales; Euphorbiaceae
Source: RNAcentral